GGUUUUAUGAUUCAUAAAGUAGUAAAAUUAAGCUAAGAAAUAUAUUUCCCCCCCACACAAAUUUCCGUCUAACGAUUAGGAAUAUUUUUUCAUAAGAAUGUGUAUUUAAAAUAUUUUUCACAAAACAGUCAAGUCAUAUAUCACAAGAAAGCUCUCAUUCUCAGGAAUCUGACGAUGUAGAUCAUUUUAUUGUGUGACAAUCACAGAUCGAAUGAUCUUCAACAGAAUCGCGAUGUAAAAUUUCUCACCUCAUUGCAAAUUAUUAUUUAUCCAUCUUAGCACCGCUUCAGUCACCCGCAAACAGCCACACAUACCUAUAUACUCGAUAUAAUCUUUUAGAUUAGAAUCUCUUCUUUCAAACAAGACCAUUUUUACGUUUCUGCGUGCUUCCAUUGGUGAGAUAUAAAGCGUUAUGUCCAGACGCGCUCAAAGAGAAAGACGCAGUUCUUUGAGACAGAAGCGCUCUUCAUGUCAUAAGACAAGCCUAAGCGGCUUUCUUCUGAUAUAUCGAUCGGAUCUCUUUUGUGAACCACUAUUUGUCCCUUCAGCUGUCAGUCUGAGCUGUGUGCUCCACUCAGAGCUGCUGAAUUUGACACCUCUGCGUCAACAGCGGGGGGAUGGAGUGGACAGUGAUGACCACAUCCUCCUCAGCCGGUGAAGCACUGGCUGAUGGGAUACUGAGUCCUCAAGUGUCCGUAAACAAAGAUCACACGCGGAAUAACUCGCGUCGCGGUGAUUAUCAAAUGUAUAAUAAUCAUACUACAAGUUAUGGAUGACCACCGUCGCCGUGGAGAGGACAGGACGCGCAUCUGGUCGUGUACAAGCUUCGGGCAGCGGAUAAGCGCUGAUAAUGCGUCAAAACAACAGAAGGGACGCUGGAAUAUGAAAUAUUACAGAUGAUUGAGACAGGUAAGAUCUCCCAAUCAUUACACCAAUGCAGAAUGGACAUAAAUGAAAUGAUAUGAAGCUGGAGAUUGUGGAUUCUAUUUUAGAUUGUGAUAGACCAGAUAUAUUUAAUAAUUUAAAGCAGUUUGCUAGUUUGCAGUGUGACUUAUCCUCUUUCAAAGUCUGUUCUGAAAACACACACACAAAAAAAGCACAUUGUAUUGAGGUGGUUCAUCAUAUGUGAAACAACAUAAAUAAUACUAUUUGUCACAAACAGCAGCUUUUUAUGUCACUUCAAAGGGUUUUCUGUAAAAGGAUAUAAAGAUAUUGCAUUUAUUCCACUAUAAUAUGGGUAUGGCUAG
This is a long non-coding RNA of Cyprinus carpio carpio, 1247 nucleotides long. The record is from Ensembl. Lineage: Eukaryota; Metazoa; Chordata; Actinopteri; Cypriniformes; Cyprinidae.